ACCAGAAAAGAGGAUGGUCCCGUAUUAGCCAAAAGCAUGCAAUAUCAGGAACUUCCAUCCAGGCAAGCGUUACGAAAAGGGGUCCAUUGGAUACUGACAGUGAUAGAUGGUACCCGAAAGAAAGGCACAGAAUGAGUCAGGUUCUCGAUUGCCGCCCCCUGUGGUGCAUAAACGAGCUGGCAGGCUCUUCGUUGAGACAGUGAUUCUUUCAUGGCAAUCCCUUAAGUCAACCACUCUAGCAUAUCGAUUUGGAAUUCAAGUUUAU
Molecule: long non-coding RNA, 265 nt
Filed under: Brachypodium distachyon (stiff brome)
Lineage: Eukaryota; Viridiplantae; Streptophyta; Magnoliopsida; Poales; Poaceae
Description: long non-coding RNA (BDIS_LNC004746)
Source: RNAcentral